GCUGGGUGUGGUGGUGCACGCCUGUAAUCCCAGCUACUCGGGAGGCUGAGGCAGGAGAAUCGCUUGAACCUGGGAGGUGGAGGUUGCAGUGAUCCGAAAUUGCUCCAGUGCACUCCAGCCUGGGUGAUAGAGUGAGACUCUGUCUCAA
Molecule: non-coding RNA, 148 nt
Filed under: Nomascus leucogenys (northern white-cheeked gibbon)
Lineage: Eukaryota; Metazoa; Chordata; Mammalia; Primates; Hylobatidae
Source: Rfam by way of RNAcentral